This 441-nucleotide ribosomal RNA is filed under the name uncultured bacterium. RNAcentral describes it as "partial 16S ribosomal RNA". It matches the Rfam family "Bacterial small subunit ribosomal RNA", at positions 338 to 795 of the family's 1533-position model. The record is from RNAcentral.
CCUACGGGCGGCUGCAGUGGGGAAUAUUGCACAAUGGGGGAAACCCUGAUGCAGCAACGCCGCGUGAAGGAAGACGGUUUUCGGAUUGUAAACUUCUGUUCGUAGGGAAGAAGAAUGACGGUAGCUAAGGAGCAAGCCACGGCUAACUACGUGCCAGCAGCCGCGGUAAGACGUAGGUGGCAAGCGUUGUCCGGAAUUACUGGGUGUACAGGGAGCGCAGGCGGGAAGCCAAGUCAGCUGUGAAAACUACGGGCUUAACUUGUAGACUGCAGUUGAAACUGGUUUUCUUGAGUGAAGUAGAGGUUGGCGGACUUCCUCGUGUAGCGGUGAACUGCGUAGAUCUUCGGAGGAACACCGGUGGCGCAGGCGGCCCACUGGGCUUUAACUGCCGCUGCGGCUCGAAAGUGUGGGGAGCAAACCGGAUUAGAUACCCCAGUAGUC